This 599-nucleotide long non-coding RNA is filed under the name Equus caballus (horse). RNAcentral's name for it is "lncRNA (ENSECAG00000029675.3)". The record is from RNAcentral. Lineage: Eukaryota; Metazoa; Chordata; Mammalia; Perissodactyla; Equidae.
GUUUGCACCUGAGCCAGGCUUGCGUUACUUCCGUGACUUCAGUCUUUGCUCUCCUACCCUCUCACUUACUAGCUGAGCGCUCUGGGGGAGGUUAUCUAACCUUCCUGAGCCUCGUAUUCCUCAUACCGAAAACGGAGGUAACCAGAGUAACUACAUCCAAAAAUUGAGAGAACUGAAUGAGAUAAAUAAGGCGAGGUGUUUUUAACACGUCCUGCACAUGAAGACAAUACCAUGAUCAUGAAAUCACUGGAGAAAUCUGCCGGGGAAGGGCUGUGAGGAUAGUCUCAUCUGUAACGCAUGUGUCCUCCAGAAAAAAAGUAUAUGGCUUUCAGACUAAAUUUUACUCCUUAUCCAAAUGGAAAGAAUAUCUAAAGAGACAAAGUGUAAUAAUCCAAGAAUCUUCUAUUGUGAGAAUAAUGGAGAUUGACAUUGUGAAGUAUAUAGAAAAACAUAAAAGCCCCCCGGUACAUAGCUGUAUAUUCUUCGUUGUGGGUCCUUCUAGUUGUGGCAUGUGGGACGCUGCCUCAGCGUGGUUUGAUGAGCAGUGCCAUGUCCGCGCCCAGGAUUCGAACCAACGAAACUCUGGGCCGCCUGCAGCG